This 583-nucleotide ribosomal RNA is filed under the name uncultured Russula. Its description in RNAcentral is "eukaryotic LSU rRNA". The stretch from base 186 to 339 matches the Rfam family "5.8S ribosomal RNA". Lineage: Eukaryota; Fungi; Basidiomycota; Agaricomycetes; Russulales; Russulaceae. The record is from RNAcentral.
CUGCGGAGGUAUUAUCAUACAAUGGAGGUGCUGGGGUUGUCGCUGACUUUGUCGUGCACACCUGGUGCUCUCACACAUCCAUCUCACCUCUUGUGCAUCACCGCGUGGGGACCUUUUGGAGGGGGUUCACGUUUUUACAUAGACUAAGUGUAGAAUGUCUCUUUUGCGAUCACACGCAUCAAUACAACUUUCAACAACGGAUCUCUUGGCUCUCGCAUCGAUGAAGAACGCAGCGAAAUGCGAUACGUAAUGUGAAUUGCAGAAUUCAGUGAAUCAUCGAAUCUUUGAACGCACCUUGCGCCCUUUGGUAUUCCGAGGGGCACACCCGUUUGAGUGUCGUGACAUUCUCAACCUUCUUGGUUUCUGGGAAGGCUUGGACUUUGGAGGCUUUUGCUGGCCUUUGUUGAAGCCAGCUCCUCUGAAAUGAAUUAGUGGGGUCUGCUUUGCUGAUCCUUGACGUGAUAAGUAUUUCUACGUCUUGGGUUUCGCACCGUCCUGCUUCUAACCGUCUCAAAGACAAUGGUCAACCACUUGACCCACCUUGACCUCAAUCGGGUGAGACUACCCGCUGAUAAGCAUAUCA